Non-coding RNA from Pelobates cultripes (western spadefoot toad), 310 nucleotides. The record is from the annotation of a GenBank genome assembly. Lineage: Eukaryota; Metazoa; Chordata; Amphibia; Anura; Pelobatidae.
CUUUAGUGCCCGCUCCAUCCAGCCACAACUCCUUCCAAAUCAGGUCCCACAGUUCCAUUACCCACUCAUCCAGGGGUUGCUCCCCUAGGAAAGGUGACCGCAGGGCCACAAGUACCUGGAACCACUGUUCGUCACUGGGAAGGCUCUCUCUCCGCCGCCGCUGGGCCUCCUCUAAGGCCUCAUACCACAGCUCCUUCCGAGUGGUAUCGCUCCAGUCCAGUAUGCCCUCCUAUGAUACAGGCCCAUACUGCUGGGCCAAGUGUUGCUACAAUCUCCAGAGAAACUCCUCUUCACAUGGGGACGCUGCACG